This 253-nucleotide ribosomal RNA is filed under the name uncultured bacterium. RNAcentral describes it as "partial 16S ribosomal RNA". It matches the Rfam family "Bacterial small subunit ribosomal RNA", at positions 524 to 776 of the family's 1533-position model. The record is from RNAcentral.
UACGUAGGGCGCAAGCGUUAUCCGGAUUCACUUGGUUUAAAGGGUGCGUAGGUGGGUUUGUAAGUCAGUGGUGAAAUCUCCAAGCUUAACUUGGAAACUGCCGUUGAUACUAUAAAUCUUGAAUGUUGUGGAGGUGAGCGGAAUAUGUCAUGUAGCGGUGAAAUGCUUAGAUAUGACAUAGAACACCAAUUGCGAAGGCAGCUCACUACACAAAGAUUGACACUGAGGCACGAAAGCGUGGGGAUCAAACAGG